GCGAACUUCCGUUAUUGACUACGACGUGCUUGCACUGAAUGAGAUUUUAACACGAAGUGAGUGGCGGACGGGUGAGUAACACGUGGGGUAACCUGCCCAGAAGCAGGGGAUAACACCUGGAAACAGAUGCUAAUACCGUAUAACAGAGAAAACCGCCUGGUUUUCUUUUAAAAGAUGGCUCUGCUAUCACUUCUGGAUGGACCCGCGGCGCAUUAGCUAGUUGGUGAGGUAACGGCUCACCAAGGCGAUGAUGCGUAGCCGACCUGAGAGGGUAAUCGGCCACAUUGGGACUGAGACACGGCCCAGACUCCUACGGGAGGCAGCAGUAGGGAAUCUUCCACAAUGGACGCAAGUCUGAUGGAGCAACGCCGCGUGAGUGAAGAAGGGUUUCGGCUCGUAAAGCUCUGUUGUUAAAGAAGAACGUGGGUGAGAGUAACUGUUCACCCAGUGACGGUAUUUAACCAGAAAGCCACGGCUAACUACGUGCCAGCAGCCGCGGUAAUACGUAGGUGGCAAGCGUUAUCCGGAUUUAUUGGGCGUAAAGCGAGCGCAGGCGGUCUUUUAAGUCUAAUGUGAAAGCCUUCGGCUCAACCGAAGAAGUGCAUUGGAAACUGGGAGACUUGAGUGCAGAAGAGGAUAGUGGAACUCCAUGUGUAGCGGUGAAAUGCGUAGAUAUAUGGAAGAACACCAGUGGCGAAGGCGGCUGUCUGGUCUGUAACUGACGCUGAGGCUCGAAAGCAUGGGUAGCGAACAGGAUUAGAUACCCUGGUAGUCCAUGCCGUAAACGAUGAUUACUAAGUGUUGGAGGGUUUCCGCCCUUCAGUGCUGCAGCUAACGCAUUAAGUAAUCCGCCUGGGGAGUACGACCGCAAGGUUGAAACUCAAAAGAAUUGACGGGGGCCCGCACAAGCGGUGGAGCAUGUGGUUUAAUUCGAAGCUACGCGAAGAACCUUACCAGGUCUUGACAUCUUCUGCCAACCUAAGAGAUUAGGCGUUCCCUUCGGGGACAGAAUGACAGGUGGUGCAUGGUUGUCGUCAGCUCGUGUCGUGAGAUGUUGGGUUAAGUCCCGCAACGAGCGCAACCCUUAUUACUAGUUGCCAGCAUUCAGUUGGGCACUCUAGUGAGACUGCCGGUGACAAACCGGAGGAAGGUGGGGACGACGUCAAAUCAUCAUGCCCCUUAUGACCUGGGCUACACACGUGCUACAAUGGAUGGUACAACGAGUCGCGAAACCGCGGAGGUUUAGCUAAUCUCUUAAAACCAUUCUCAGUUCGGACUGUAGGCUGCAACUCGCCUACACGAAGUCGGAAUCGCUAGAAUCGCGGAUCAGCAUGCCGCGGUGAAUACGUUCCCGGGCCUUGUACACACCGCCCGUCACACCAUGAGAGUUUGUAACACCCAAAGCCGGUGGGGUAACCUUUUAGGAGA
Molecule: ribosomal RNA, 1428 nt
Filed under: Pediococcus acidilactici
Lineage: Bacteria; Bacillati; Bacillota; Bacilli; Lactobacillales; Lactobacillaceae
Description: bacterial SSU rRNA
Rfam family: Bacterial small subunit ribosomal RNA
Source: RNAcentral